Molecule: non-coding RNA, 219 nt
Filed under: Thermobaculum terrenum
Lineage: Bacteria; Bacillati; Chloroflexota; Chloroflexia; Thermobaculales (SeqCode); Thermobaculaceae (SeqCode)
Description: T-box sequence
Rfam family: T-box leader
About the family: Uncharged tRNA acts as the effector for transcription antitermination of genes in the T-box leader family. T-boxes are found upstream of many aminoacyl-tRNA synthetase genes and some amino acid biosynthetic genes usually in Gram-positive bacteria.
Source: RNAcentral
AGAAACGCUGUGAAAGGGAAUAGUAGGGGUAACGAAGACGCUCAGAGAGCCGAGGGCUGGUGUGACUCGGACGCUUCUUAUCCCGAACGCGGCCCUGGAGCGGUCGGCCUGAAAUCUUAGUAGGGUCGAACGGGUUACGCCCGUUAGCGCGCAUGAGUGGUCGUCACCCGAAGGUGGCGGCAACAAGGGUGGUACCGCGAGGCAGCCCUCGUCCCUUGA